CUACAUCUCAAAACUGCUCUGUCUCAUUCUUCUUCUUUGGGACUCUGCCUCUUCGUUAUCUUCAUCUUCAUUUCAUUCAUUACGUUAGAUUUCGUCCGACGGUGAAGCCUGGAAGUUGCAGAUUUUUUCUUUUUCUUUUUUUUUUCUUUUAAAAAAAAAAAAAAAUCAGCCUCUCGAACCAGCGGGCAGUAACUGGCGGUAUACCUUCGGCAAUCGGUGAUCAGCUGCUGCAAAACUCUCAACAGGUGUUAAUCAGAUGCAUUUUAUGCUGUAUUAUGCAUUUUAUUGAUGUAUUCGAUUUGCCUGGACCACCACAUGUUUUCACGAAACAAAGAUGAAUUUCUCUAAUUUUAUACAAAACCAAACCACCACUUGUUUUCACAGAAAAGAUUUAAUUUCUCUAAUUUUGUACAGAUUUAAAAUCGACAAUGUGGUUUUUCUUGAUUUAUACAAUUUCUUUUUGUUGAUGGACCGAAGAACUUGAGGUAUUUUUGGAAAUGGCUUCUUUUUGUUGAUGGAUUUUGUAGCCCAGAGAUUUCUGUUCAAUGGGUAUGCAUGUGGUUUUCUUGAUUUUUUUGUAGUUCAUCUGAAUGUUUACAAGAUUUGACAAAGUCUUCAUUCUGGGUUCUGACCUUGAUGUUGAUAUGAGGCUAGUUUUGUUUUUAAGGGAUUCUAAAUCUUUUUAUCUGUUUGAUUGGUUGACGUUAAUGGUUUUAAGAAAUUGUGUAGUUGACAAUUUAUUAUUGUCCUCUCAUAUAUGUGUGUGUGUUUAUAUUCCCUGGCCAACUUUAAAUUCAAACUAGUCAUUUUGUGAUUGAUAGUUGAUAAUUGGAUACCAUAUGGGGCCAGAAGCUUCUAUAAUGUGGCUGUGGUUUCUUCUUCUGGUCUAUAUUUUACCCUCUUCCUUAUUUUCGUCCAAUCCCAUGGCUCCAAUAGCCAAAGACAUCAACAAUCACAAUCAAGGUUUUGGUUCAACAAUGGAAGAUUUCAUAAAUAGAAUCCACCCACCCACAAAGAAGAAAAGAACAGAGAGAUAGAGGGUAACAUAAAACAAAAAGAAUCUGCUUUUAUAUAGAAUAGUAAAGAAACAAAAUUGCAGAUGAUAAAAAAUUAUUACAGUGAGUAAAAUAAAGAAUUCAAGAAAGGAUAAACAAGCCUUACAAAGGAUAAGGCUUCCAAGAACCAAAGAGAAAAGGACACCAAGAAAAAAUAAUACUACUACAACAAAGAGAGAGAAAGCGAGAGAAUUUUUGAACUGAAGGAAUUGGUCAUGUGGUUGUGAAUAUGUGAAUCACCAACAGAAAAAUGGUGGGUAAGGGGUGGCGUGGGGAGAUCACGAAGAUCACUAUAAAAAAAUAAAUAAAACCAUGAUUCAAAGGGACUCCAACACACGGGACAGCAAGCCUAGGAUUGGAUGGACGAUAGGUACUCUGUAAUUUGACAUAUUCUUAUUGGUCAAUGAUUGGAUAGGAUGAGGAGUACAUGCACCCAAUUUCAGCUAAUUAUAACUCCCAUUUUUACUUCAAAUUGGGCUGCACUGGCCCCUUUGCUUUGCUGUAAUUAAGGAUCACGUGGCUAACAGAAAGAUUUACAGGUGGCUUUACUAUUUCUUAUCAGUAUCGAUUGUCCUAACUUGAUGUCGAUUCUACAUUCUACUGUUCUAAAAUACUUUCCUUGAAAGAGGGGUUCUUGUUGCUUGAUUACUCACUUAAUCAAAUCAAUCUACAGAUAUUUUCAUAAUUAUCUUCAAAAAGAAUAAAUAAAUACGUAAAAACUCGUAACAUAAUUUAUCGAGCCUUCUAAAAGAUAGGUGGAGAAAAAAGAAGGCAGGAUGGAACCAGAUAUCAAAACAUGCAUGAGGGUGGAGAAAAAUGCUUAUGAGUUUGUCACAUCAUCAAUAGAUUGAGAACGGUUCAAAGUUGGCAAGUGGGCAAGUGGCUCUGAGGAUUGAGGGAUUAUGGUGAAACAUGUUUAUUUAAGUUACUUUAUUCACAUUAGGUGCCAUAUAUGUGAAGAAUAUCAUAGUUCAAUACGUUUUAAGGAGUAGUUUGUUUCUAUUAAAACUUAGAAAUGAACAUAAGGAUUCAAGAAUGGUAUACCAUAUGUAGCCAACAGAGCUUUAUUGACAAUAAUUAUUCCAAUAAAAGUAACAAUAUUGAACAUCCAUAAUGUAAUGAUACUUGAUACCGUUUUGAGCUUUUACCUUUGUUCUUAUCAUUUUUCUAUGUUUUUUUUUUUUUUUUCCCUUUUCCAGUGGCGUUUGUACCUAUUAUCAAUCCUAUAAAUUGUCCAUGGGUCAAAAAGCUUUCACAAGUUACUUAGGUGAAAAUAAAGCUGCGUGGCAAGUAUAAUCUUUGAUUGGCUAUGAACAUGGUUGGGUAAACAUGUAAGCUACUUAUUUUGAUCCUGAGAUGAAUCGUAAAGAGUUAUUCAAAAUAAGUAACUUUAUUUACUUAAAGAAGUUACUUUUACUUAUUUUUCAGCUUUGAAUUUGUAUUUGUGUUAUUCAGUGUUUGAUCGAAUAAUAAUGGACAACGCAUGGUUGCAAUUAUCAAGAUUAUUAUUUGAAAUAAGAUCUUGUGAAUCUACUUACAAAAUUUAAACAUUUUAACAUAAAAUGAUCAUAACAUUUUACUUAUAGGUUUUCAGAACAAUAUAGAGAUGGAGCACAGAAUUUUGAUGAACUAGCUCGUGAAAAUCUAUGUUCAGAAAUGAUAGGAUGCCCUUGUGUUAAGUGUAGGAAUCUAAAGCACCAUCAUUAUGAAACAAUGUACGAACAUUUGGUUAUUGAGCCCCUCAUUUGGACCCCAUUCUCCUAAUCAUUCUUUUUCUCUCUCUUAUUUUCAACUACACAAUCUUCCAUCAAAUAAUAUUACACGCAAAUAAAAAACUUUUCACUAUUUUUCGACCACACAUUUUUCAAAAAAAUAUUAUUCCAACCACUAAAAUUUGGAAGGAAUGGGGGCCAAACGAAGGCUAAGGGAAUGGAUCCUACGUACACUGUUUGGAUAUUUCAUGGAAAACUACCAUAUUAAUUAAAUUCAGUUGAUUUGGAAAUGCCUGAGUCACGUAGAAUGUUUAGGGACUUCUAUGUACAAUAUGAUGUAUAUCUUGAAAACCCUAUUGAUGGAAGAGAUGGAGAGAUACAAAGUUUGGUUGACGAUGCUAAGACAGCUUUGUAUCUUGGUUGUAUGACAUUUACGAAGAUGUCAACUUUGAUUGCAUUGCUUAAACAUAAAGCUACACAUGGUUUAUCAGAUAGUGAUUUCGAUGAACAUAUAAAUUUCAUUCAGGGACAUGUUGCCAGAAAAUAAUAAACUUCCUAACUCAUUUUAUGAGAUAAAAAAACUUGUCAAUGCCUUUGACCUCGGCUAUGAGAAGAUACAUGCUUGCUUGAUGAUUGUUGUCUAUAUAGAAAGGAGCUUGAACAUGCUGAAUUCUGUCCAAAAUGUGAUUGCUCAAGAUGGAAAGUUAACCAACAGACUAAAAAAAUUCAAAAAAAAAAAAAAAGCACCUAAAGUCUUGUGUUAUUUCUCUAUAAUACCAAGACUUGGGAGGAUGUUUGGAAUAGAUGAGAUGGCGACACAACUUAGAUGGCAUUCAAAUCAUAAAAGUCCAGAUGGUAAAAUCAGGCAUCCAAUUGACUUAUUAAGUUGGGAAAUGAUAAAUAGAAGAUGGCCACAUUUUGCAUCAGAUCCUCAAAAUAUUAUACUAAGUCUUGCAACUAAUGGAUUUAAUCCUUUCAAAGAUUUUAGUUCUAAAUAUAGUUGUUGGUCAGUAACUUUAACUAUAUAUAAUUUGCCUUCCUCAUUAUGCAUGUCGAAAGAAUGUUUGAUGUUGGGCUUAUUGAUCCCAGGACCAAAGCAGUUAGGUAAUGACAUAAAUGUUUAUUUGGCACCAAUUGUAGACGACUUAAUAUUGUUAUAGAGUGACGGGGUUGAGAUAUAUGAUGCAGUCAUGAAACCUACAUUCAAUUUAAAAGCUAUUUUAAUGUGGACAAUACAUGACUUUCCUGCAUAUGGAAAUGUAUCUGGAUGACCCGUUAAGAGAAAAAUUGCAUGCCGUAUUUGUCAUGAAAAUACAUGUUCCCUAUGGCUGUUACGUGGUAGGAAGUUUGCGUACAUGUGACAUAUAAAAUUUCUCGACUUGAGUCAUCUAUUUCGUAUGAAAAAGAGUUGUUUAAUGAAUGCAUUGAAAAUGGUUCUAGGCUGAAGAUAAAGAAUGAUGAAGAAGAUUCUAAUGAAGUUGAUAAUAUUACAUAUGAUUGGGGAAAAAGUGAUAAGCGAAAGAGAAAAAAGAAUACAACUCAAUUAAAUGUAAUGUGGAAGAAAAAGUCAAUAUUUUUCAUGCUACCAUAUUGGAAGAUAACUCUAAUCAUAAUUUUUCUGGUUUGCUAAAUACUUCUAAUGGCUUGUAGUAUAUCAUCGCACAAUUAAUGUUUAAUUUGCAAACUUUACGUGUACGUCAUAAUUUGGAUGUGAUGCAUGUGAAAAAGAACAUUUGCGAGAGCAUCAUUAAUACACUUUUGGACGUGAAAGGAAAAUCUAAAGAUGGUAUUAACUCUCGUAAAGACUUGGAAGCGAUGAAUAUUAAGCAUGAUUUACAUGCUGAGAGAAGAGGAAAUAAAUUCUACUUACCUGCUGCCUAUCACACUUUAUUAAAAGCAGAAAAAUAAAUGUUUUGCAUGAAACUUGCUAAUAUGGGAUUGCCCGAUGGUUAUGGUUCUAAUAUCGAAAAUUGCAUUUCAGUGAAGUGAAAAAAUGUAAGAUAGCUGGAUUCAAGUUUCGUGAUUGUCACAUUUUAAUGCAACAAUUACUACCAGUUACAUUGAGAUGACUUCUACCUAAAGGAUCAGAGAACUCCAUUUUUAAAUUGUGUUCAUUUUUCAAUGAAACAUGUCAAGGGGUUGCAAAUAGGAAUAAUGUUGAAAGUUUGGAAAAAGACGUUUCUGAAACUUUAUGCAUGUUGGAAAGGUAUUUUCUACCUUCCUUUUUUGAUAUUAUGGUUCAUUUCACAAUCCAUAUUGGGAGAGAAGUUCGUCUAUGCGGACCAAUCCAAUAUUGUUGGAUGUACCCAUUUGAGAGGUAAUAUUCCUUUAAGUUAUACCCAAAUGUGAAAUUUAUUUUCAAUUUUGUUUUAUAUUUUAUACUAUUUUUCAGUAAAUAUGUAGGUAUAUGAAACAGUUGAGAUGAUAUGUUAUGAAUCCUGCACGACCUAAAGGGUGUGUAGCUGAAUGAUACAUUAUUGAAGAAAAUACGAUGUUUUGUAGUAGUUACAUAAAACAGGCAUAUGAAAUAGGCAUUAGGCCUGCACACAACGAAGAAUAUGAGAGUAACUUCUUGGUUGUAGGGCGCACAAUUUCUAAAAGGAAGCCAAUUGUACUUCUAGAUGAGAUGUUGAAAGUUGCCAAACGCUAUGUGUUGCUAAUAGUACUGAAGUGGCACCCUACAUAUAGUAUGUUUGUGAAAUACCUACGUUGUUAGAUUUUAAGUUCUUAGACCAUAUUAAUUUAUUUUAUCUUGUUUUCCACUUAGGAUGUAUAUGAAUGAACUCAAGAGUUUUGACAAACAACUUGAAAGAAAUGAGAAUUUAUUGCAAAAGAGACACACUGACUCUUUUGCUGCUUGGCUGAAUGAUAAGGUUGACAUAUAUAUAAGAAAUUCAACGUGUUUAAUUAUGUUUUUGUUUCUUCUAUUCCUAGCAUGUUUAUGAUAAAAACAGAUCAAAGGUCAACUGUUGCUGGACAAUGUUUCAAAUGCUUUAAAGUGGCUAGUGUGUGGUCCUAGAUGCCAGUCAAUGUCAUAUUCUAGUUUUGUAAUAAAUGGUCUUCAGUUUCACACGAAAAAUGCAGAAAAGUCUCGACAAAACGGUGGCAUUUCAGUUGAAGCGACAACCAUUUGUAGAUAUACUACAAAAGAUAAUGCACAUGUUGUUCGAAAGGUUCUUUAUUAUGGAGUUCUACAUGAUAUUAUAGUGCUUGAUUACAAUGCAUUUCAUAUUCUACUAUUAAAAUGUGAUUGGACAAAUAUCGUGAAUGGAAUAAAAAAAUGAGGAUGGAUUUACUUUGGUUAAUCUUAAUGAGGGAUAUAGACAAUUUGAAAACGAUCAUUUCAUUUUGACAUCACAGGCAAAACAAGUGUUCUAUUCUAGGGAGAGUGAAACAUCUAAUUGGUAUGUUGCUUUGCAAGCGUCACCAAGAGACUUUCACACUUACCUAUGGAAGAAGAUACUUCUCACUAGGCAACUAUUCCAUUAGAUAUAAUACAACUCGAAGACAAUUAGGAUGAGGAUGAGAAUUAUGCAAGGAUAUAUGUCGACGGCGUAUUAUGUGAUACAUAUCUCAAUUAGUUUGGUAAAUAUCCUCAUAAAAAUCACAUGCUUUAAGUUGACAUUGUAGAUAAAGUGUUUUUGGUGUAUUGAUUAAUCUUUUGAAUUUUAUUUUAAUGUUUGAUAAUCGUACUGGCAGAUUUUGUUAUAGUGAUUAAUUAAUUUGGUAAAUCUCUCUCUCUCUUUUUGUUUGCAGCUUUCCAUUAUCUUUGAAGUGAUUUGUUUCGAACCAGCUGACUGUAAUACACUUUAUAGGAUAGAAGGAGCUCAGGUUAGUGUGUUUUUUAUACUUCUUAAGUUAUCUAUUAACUUUCGAGAAUAAUUAUAUUUAUAUUUGGUUUUCACAUUGCAUUCUUUAAGUCGACCAAGCAAGCUUCGAAGAGCUGCAAUUGUUGUUACAGUUCGAGAAAUCAAUAAAAGACUAAGACUUUCGAGUGAACCUUAAAAUACUUUAUCAAUUCCAAUUACUAAUGAGCAAAACAUGCUGCCGACAAAUAUAAAUGCUCCAAAAAGGAAAAGAGGUCCAACCCAAGUGAAAUAGUACUUAGCUCGAAUUUAAUGAAUUCGAGCAAGUAGUUGGCACUAACUCUGAUAAAGUUGCUAGUAUAGUUGGAGACAUGAUACGAGAACAUGUGUCUCUUGUAAUUAAGGAUUGGCAGUUGUUAGGUGACAUGAAAAAAAAGGAACUUUGGACUUUCAUAAAG
RNAcentral lists this long non-coding RNA (7031 nucleotides) under Olea europaea subsp. europaea. Lineage: Eukaryota; Viridiplantae; Streptophyta; Magnoliopsida; Lamiales; Oleaceae. The record is from RNAcentral.